CACGGCCCUGUAUGUUCCAAGGAACCAC
This 28-nucleotide non-coding RNA is filed under the name Mus musculus (house mouse). Lineage: Eukaryota; Metazoa; Chordata; Mammalia; Rodentia; Muridae. The record is from RNAcentral.